AGUGAUUAUUAUUUAUUGAGUGAUUGUGGAGUACCACGCAGGCACUGGGCUGAAUGCUUAUAGAUAUCGGUUUGAGGCUUUCUACAUCUCUGAAAGGAAGGACUGGAGAUGCCGUCGUCCAGAACGGACUUGUGGACAGAGUCGGGGAAGGAGAGAACGGGACAAAAGGAGAAAGACAAAUAAUCAGAGCUAAGAGAAACAGGAACAUAUUUCAAAUUGGAGGGACAAACUUCCAUGCCCUCGGGAGCCCAGCUGCCAAUGUGGUUUCAGAUUAAAAUUCCAUCUGCUUCUUCCGAAAAGCUUGUUUCCUUCCAUUCUUAAGAGGCUUAAUAACCUUCUGACUCCUUUCAGCUCUUGUAAAGAAGCAGUCUAUGUGCCUGCUUGCUCACCGAAGGGGCAACCGUGUGUACUUGACCA
Non-coding RNA from Odocoileus virginianus texanus, 417 nucleotides. The record is from RefSeq and is a predicted model, not a curated record. Lineage: Eukaryota; Metazoa; Chordata; Mammalia; Artiodactyla; Cervidae.